GUAGUCAACGCAAUUGACUCUGUGGCCCAAUGGAUAAGGCGCUGGUCUACGAAACCAGAGAUUCUGGGUUCGAUCCCCAGCAGAGUCGUG
Molecule: transfer RNA, 90 nt
Filed under: Helianthus annuus (common sunflower)
Lineage: Eukaryota; Viridiplantae; Streptophyta; Magnoliopsida; Asterales; Asteraceae
Description: tRNA HanXRQr2_Chr06g0270001
Rfam family: tRNA (bases 16-88)
About the family: Transfer RNA (tRNA) molecules are approximately 80 nucleotides in length. Their secondary structure includes four short double-helical elements and three loops (D, anti-codon, and T loops). Further hydrogen bonds mediate the characteristic L-shaped molecular structure. tRNAs have two regions of fundamental functional importance: the anti-codon, which is responsible for specific mRNA codon recognition, and the 3' end, to which the tRNAs corresponding amino acid is attached (by aminoacyl-tRNA synthetases). tRNAs cope with the degeneracy of the genetic code in two manners: having more than one tRNA (with a specific anti-codon) for a particular amino acid; and 'wobble' base-pairing, i.e. permitting non-standard base-pairing at the 3rd anti-codon position.
Source: RNAcentral